Molecule: ribosomal RNA, 468 nt
Filed under: uncultured bacterium
Lineage: Bacteria
Description: partial 16S ribosomal RNA
Rfam family: Bacterial small subunit ribosomal RNA
Source: RNAcentral
GACGAACGCUGGCGGCGUGCUUAACACAUGCCAGUCGAACGGAAAGGCCCUGCUUUUGUGGGGUGCUCGAGUGGCGAACGGGUGAGUAACACGUGAGUAACCUGCCCUUGACUUUGGGAUAACUUCAGGAAACUGGGGCUAUUACCGGAUAGGAGCUCCUGCUGCAUGGUGGGGGUUGGAAAGUUUCGGCGGUUGGGGUUGGACUGGCGGGUUAUCAGCUUGUGGGUGGGGUAGUGGCAUACCAAGGCUUUGACGGGUAGCCGGCCUGAGAGGGUGAACGCGCACAUGGGGACUGCGAUACGGCGCAGACUCCUACGGGAGGCAGCAGUGGGGAAUAUUGCACAAUGGGCGGAAGCCUGAUGCAGCGACGCCGCGUGCGGGAUGACGGCCUUCGGGUUGUAAACCGCUUUCGCCUGUGACGAAGCGUGAGUGACGGUAAUGGGUAAAGAAGCACCGGCUAACUACGUG